GGUAAGGUGAUAUGAACCGUUAUAACCGGCGAUACCCGAAUGGGGAAACCCAGUGUGACUCGUCACACUAUCAUUAACUGAAUCCAUAGGUUAAUGAGGCGAACCGGGGGAACUGAAACAUCUAAGUACCCCGAGGAAAAGAAAUCAACCGAGAUUCCCCCAGUAGCGGCGAGCGAACGGGGAGGAGCCCAGAGCCUGAAUCAGCAUGUGUGUUAGUGGAAGCGUCUGGAAAGGCGCGCGAUACAGGGUGACAGCCCCGUACACAAAAGCGCAUGUGCUGUGAGCUCGAUGAGUAGGGCGGGACACGUGGUAUCCUGUCUGAAUAUGGGGGGACCAUCCUCCAAGGCUAAAUACUCCUGACUGACCGAUAGUGAACCAGUACCGUGAGGGAAAGGCGAAAAGAACCCCGGCGAGGGGAGUGAAAAAGAACCUGAAACCGUGUACGUACAAGCAGUGGGAGCCCCACCACCAAAGCAUUUGCUGUACCGCGUUGACGGAGCGAAGCGACGUCAAACCGAUAAAACAGCAGUGUAAAGUGAGCCGCAGGGCGCUUUGCGCGACAGCGCAAAGGCAGGCGGUUUCGCGUAGCGAAAGCGAAUGCUUUGGGGUGG
RNAcentral lists this ribosomal RNA (611 nucleotides) under Salmonella enterica subsp. enterica serovar Enteritidis. Its description in RNAcentral is "partial 23S ribosomal RNA". The stretch from base 1 to 446 matches the Rfam family "Bacterial large subunit ribosomal RNA", at positions 80 to 565 of the family's 2925-position model. Lineage: Bacteria; Pseudomonadati; Pseudomonadota; Gammaproteobacteria; Enterobacterales; Enterobacteriaceae. The record is from RNAcentral.